GACGAACGCUGGCGGCGUGCCUAAUACAUGCAAGUAGAACGCUGAAGGAGGAGCUUGCUUCUCUGGAUGAGUUGCGAACGGGUGAGUAACGCGUAGGUAACCUGCCUGGUAGCGGGGGAUAACUAUUGGAAACGAUAGCUAAUACCGCAUAAUAGCAGUUGUUGCAUGACAACUGUUUGAAAGGUGCAAUUGCACCACUACCAGAUGGACCUGCGUUGUAUUAGCUAGUUGGUGGGGUAACGGCUCACCAAGGCGACGAUACAUAGCCGACCUGAGAGAGUGAUCGGCCACACUGGGACUGAGACACGGCCCAGACUCCUACGGGAGGCAGCAGUAGGGAAUCUUCGGCAAUGGACGGAAGUCUGACCGAGCAACGCCGCGUGAGUGAAGAAGGUUUUCGGAUCGUAAAGCUCUGUUGUAAGAGAAGAACGAGUGUGAGAGUGGAAAGUUCACACUGUGACGGUAUCUUACCAGAAAGGGACGGCUAACUACGUG
RNAcentral lists this ribosomal RNA (495 nucleotides) under uncultured bacterium. Its description in RNAcentral is "partial 16S ribosomal RNA". It matches the Rfam family "Bacterial small subunit ribosomal RNA", at positions 28 to 507 of the family's 1533-position model. The record is from RNAcentral.